RNAcentral lists this ribosomal RNA (299 nucleotides) under uncultured Anaerofilum sp. RNAcentral describes it as "partial 16S ribosomal RNA". It matches the Rfam family "Bacterial small subunit ribosomal RNA", at positions 497 to 795 of the family's 1533-position model. The record is from RNAcentral. Lineage: Bacteria; Bacillati; Bacillota; Clostridia; Eubacteriales; Oscillospiraceae.
AUAUCGCGGUGCCUGGGGCCGCGGUAGUACGGAGGAUCCAAUCUUUAGCCGUAAUCAUUGGGUUUAAAGGGUCCGUAUGGGGCCUUAUAAGUCAGCGGGGAAAGUUUUUGGAUUAACCAAAAAAUUGCCAUUGAUACUGUAUGGCUUGAAUAUUUGUGAAGUAACUAGAAUAUGUAGUGUAGCGGUGAAAUGCUUAGAUAUUACAUGGAAUACCAAUUGCGAAGGCAGGUUACUAACAAAUGAUUGACGCUGAUGGACGAAAGCGUGGGUAGCGAACAGGAUUAGAUACCCGAGUAGUC